RNAcentral lists this unclassified non-coding RNA (284 nucleotides) under Hevea brasiliensis (rubber tree). Lineage: Eukaryota; Viridiplantae; Streptophyta; Magnoliopsida; Malpighiales; Euphorbiaceae. The record is from RNAcentral.
AGUCUAUUUGUUAAAUAGACUUCCUACAAAGGCAGUAGAUCAAUUCACUCCAGUUGAAGCUUGGUCCGGAAAGAAACCAACAGCAAAACAUUUGAAAGUGUUUGGAUCUAUUUGCUAUAUUCAUGUUCCAGCAGUUAAAAGAACCAAACUAGAUCAAAAGGCAGAAAGAGGAAUUUUCUUAGGCUACUCCACUGCAUCUAAGGGUUACAGGGUUUAUAAUCUUGUUUCCAACAAAGUUCAGAUUAGUAGGGAUGUUGUGGUUGAUGAAACAUCUCACUGGAAUU